This 147-nucleotide non-coding RNA is filed under the name Virgibacillus sp. RNAcentral's name for it is "FMN sequence". It matches the Rfam family "FMN riboswitch aptamer (RFN element)". From Rfam's summary of the family: The RFN element is a highly conserved domain that is found frequently in the 5'-untranslated regions of prokaryotic mRNAs that encode for flavin mononucleotide (FMN) biosynthesis and transport proteins. Lineage: Bacteria; Bacillati; Bacillota; Bacilli; Caryophanales; Bacillaceae. The record is from RNAcentral. RNAcentral also lists the same sequence under 1 other name.
UUCUAUCUUCGGGGCAGGGUGUGAUUCCCGACCGACGGUGUUGAACAGAUAUUGUUCUGAGUCCGUGACCCGCAAUGCAUAUGCAUUGCGGCUGACCUGGUGGAAAUCCGGGACCGACAGUUAAAGUCUGGAUGGGAGAAGAUUAUA